Molecule: ribosomal RNA, 395 nt
Filed under: uncultured bacterium
Lineage: Bacteria
Description: bacterial SSU rRNA
Rfam family: Bacterial small subunit ribosomal RNA
Source: RNAcentral
UAUUGCACAAUGGGCGCAAGCCUGAUGCAGCGACGCCGCGUGAGUGAAGAAGUAUCUCGGUAUGUAAAGCUCUAUCAGCGGGGAAGAAGAAAUGACGGUACCUGAGUAAGAAGCCCCGGCUAACUACGUGCGAGCAGCCGCGGUAAUACGUAGGGGGCAAGCGUUAUCCGGAAUUACUGGGUGUAGAGGGAGCGUAGACGGUGAUGUAAGUCUGGAGUGAAAGGCGGGGGCCCAACCCCCGGACUGCUCAGGAAACUAUGUGACUGGAGUGCAGGAGAGGUGAGCGGAAUUCCUAGUGUAGCGGUGAAAUGCGUAGAUAUUAGGGGGAACACCAGUGGCGAAGGCGGCUCACUGGACUGUAACUGACGUUGAGGCUCGAAAGCGUGGGGAGCAAA